UACGAGGGGGGCGAUCGUUGUUCGGAAUUAUUGGGCGUAAAGGGUGCGUAGGCGGUUUGGUAAGUCUUGUGUGAAAUCUACAGGCUCAACUUGUAGUCUGCACGAGAAACUGCCGGGCUUGAGUGUGGGAGAGGUGAGUGGAAUUCCUGGUGUAGCGGUGAAAUGCGCAGAUAUCAGGAGGAACACCGAUGGCGAAGGCAGGUCUCUGGGCCAUUACUGACACUGAGAAGCGAAAGCAUGGGGAGCGAACAGG
Molecule: ribosomal RNA, 253 nt
Filed under: uncultured bacterium
Lineage: Bacteria
Description: partial 16S ribosomal RNA
Rfam family: Bacterial small subunit ribosomal RNA
Source: RNAcentral